GAUGAACGCUGGCGGCGUGCCUAAUACAUGCAAGUCGAGCGAACAGACGAGGAGCUUGCUCCUCUGACGUUAGCGGCGGACGGGUGAGUAACACGUGGAUAACCUACCUAUAAGACUGGGAUAACUUCGGGAAACCGGAGCUAAUACCGGAUAAUAUAUUGAACCGCAUGGUUCAAUAGUGAAAGACGGUUUUGCUGUCACUUAUAGAUGGAUCCGCGCCGCAUUAGCUAGUUGGUAAGGUAACGGCUUACCAAGGCAACGAUGCGUAGCCGACCUGAGAGGGUGAUCGGCCGCACUGGAACUGAGACACGGUCCAGACUCCUACGGGAGGCAGCAGUAGGGAAUCUUCCGCAAUGGGCGAAAGCCUGACGGAGCAGCGCCGCGUGAGUGAUGAAGGUCUUCGGAUCGUAAAACUCUGUUAUUAGGGAAGAACAAAUGUGUAAGUAACUAUGCACGUCUUGACGGUACCUAAUCAGAAAGCCACGGCUAACUACGUG
RNAcentral lists this ribosomal RNA (497 nucleotides) under uncultured bacterium. Its description in RNAcentral is "partial 16S ribosomal RNA". It matches the Rfam family "Bacterial small subunit ribosomal RNA", at positions 28 to 507 of the family's 1533-position model. The record is from RNAcentral.